RNAcentral lists this ribosomal RNA (254 nucleotides) under uncultured bacterium. RNAcentral describes it as "partial 16S ribosomal RNA". It matches the Rfam family "Bacterial small subunit ribosomal RNA", at positions 524 to 776 of the family's 1533-position model. The record is from RNAcentral.
UACGAAGGGGGCUAGCGUUGUUCGGAAUUACUGGGCGUAAAGCGCACGUAGGCGGCUUUGCAAGUCAGAGGUGAAAGCCCGGGGCUCAACCCCGGAAUUGCCUUUGAGACUGCAUCGCUAGAAUUGUGGAGAGGUAAGUGGAAUUCCGAGUGUAGAGGUGAAAUUCGUAGAUAUUCGGAAGAACACCAGUGGCGAAGGCGACUUACUGGACACAUAUUGACGCUGAGGUGGCGAAAGCGUGGGGAGCAAACAGG